This 1666-nucleotide long non-coding RNA is filed under the name Fragaria vesca (wild strawberry). RNAcentral's name for it is "long non-coding RNA (FVES_LNC004959)". The record is from RNAcentral. Lineage: Eukaryota; Viridiplantae; Streptophyta; Magnoliopsida; Rosales; Rosaceae.
AAUCAUAGGCUCUUCUGAUUCUUACUAAUCACUGAAGUUUCAACAACUUAGCAUGUCAAUGCUUUUUAACAUGUCUUCAAAUGUGGUAUUGGGCAAUGAUUAACUAAAUCAUGCCGUAUUGUCCUCAAAUGAUCUUUUACACUUAGAUCUUGAGGAGAAGGUUGCUUGUGAACUCAAAACAUAAGUUCGUGCAGGAAAUCAGAUUUCCGCGCAGCAUGACCUUCAAUUACUAGAACAGUCGUAACUUUCUCUAGGAAAUACAUAUGAACGAACCGUAAACGGUUUUGGAAACUAGACUCAUUUAGCUUUCCAACCGUCGAAGUUGACUGUUUUGCUAAAAUCAGAUUCUCUGACAGAUUCGUCAUACUUUACGAAAACGGCCAUAACUCACUCAAUAUGAUAGGUAUGAUCAAAUGGUUGGUGUCCCUGGAAAGUAGACACAUAGACCUUUCCAAUGGUACCAAUUUCACCAUUUUCCAGUGAGUGAGAUUUCCUAUAGGUCUCGUGGAAGUUGACCUACAAAACUUGGCAGAUUCUGAUUUCGCUUUUGAUGUGUCUUUCUUAUGUAGGGAUAGAAUAAGCCUCAACCUUUUAUACCAUUAAGUAUUGAAAAAGGAGUUACUGCCAUUACAUUGGCGUUGCGUGGGCGCAUAGCUACACUUAGCUUUACAACUUUUCAUAGCGAAUGAGAUGUCAAGUCUUUUGUAUUGUGUUGAGUACAUUGAUGCGUCUUUUUGUACUUAGAUGGGAACUCCAUCUCUUAACACAUAUUUGUCAUCUUGCUUUAGACAAAACAACGGAUCUCUCUUUAGAGCAAAGACCUUGACUAAUCAUGGGAGUAUAUGUAGGCCUCACUAGUUAUAGAGCACCUAAGCCGAUUGAUCAUCAAUACAGUCAUCGAGUGCCUUAUCGAGACUGUGUCUUCCCAAGAUCUUUUUCUUCGGAUGUUGAUACAUAUUGGCAUCUCUUGAUCCAUCAAGAGUCCAUGUAAAUCCGGAAUGAACACGCAAAGGCAUAAUUCACCAUAUCCCUUCCAAAUCAAGUAGAGUUCAUGUGCGUUUCAAUACAUUUAGCAAACGCAUGCUCCUGUGGUUUGGAGCAACUUGAUUUGGAUGAAUGAAGUCUGUUUAAGAUCUUCAUGUAUAUCUCUGAUCCCAUAGAGAUGUUAUUAUGACCACAUUCAUAGGCUGCAUGUUCAGUUAGUCGGAAACUACCAAACUGACAAAGUAGUGGAGUUCAAUGACAUCCAUUACGAGAGCAUAUCUUAUCGUAGUCGACCCAGUGCGUGUUAGUGAGAGACCUUGCGCCAUAAGGUGAGUCUAAGCUCUUGUUCUCACUACGCUAUCUAACAAAGGUAUAGUUGAUAGGGUUUAGCUUGCGGUGUCGGCAUCACCUGCCCAAGGACCUAUCUCUUUGUUAAUGCUGGAUCGCAUCUUUCCAUUAGGCCAAUCAACUAAGUUGAUAUCCAUCAACGAAGGGUGGUUCGAUAGUAGACUCAUUAUCUCACGUCCUCAUGUACACUAGUGUAAUACUUGUAGAGAUCUCUAUAUGGAUUGGAUUUGACAUUGAGGCGUCCCCCAACGAUAAUCACAAUUCAGACUUCAUGAGACGGAUUUGAGUAUCACUGAUCAAUGGAUCAGGUUGUGCCAAUCUCGCUUUCUUCCUA